CCUACGGGUGGCAGCAGUGAGGAAUAUUGGUCAAUGGACGAGAGUCUGAACCAGCCAAGCAGCGUGAAGGAUGACUGUCCUAUGGGUUGUAAACCUCUUUUAUCAGGGAAUAAAAUGUUCCAAGUGUGGGAGGAUGUAUGUACCAUAUGCAUAAGAAUCGGCUAACUCCGUGCCAGCAGCCGCGGUAAUACGGAGGAUCCGAGCGUUAUCCGGAUUUAUUGGGGUUAAAGGGGGCGUAGGUGGAUUGUUAAGUCAGUUGUGAAAGUCUGCGGCUCAACCGUAAGAUUGCAGUUGAAACUGGCAGUCUUGAGUACAGUAGAGGUAGGCGGAAGUCGUGGUGUAGCGGUGAAAUGCUUAGAUAUCACGAAGAACUCCGAUUGCGAAGGCAGUUUGCUGGACUGAAACUGACACUGAGGCUCGAAAGUGUGGGUAUCAAACAGGAUUAGAUACCCUUGUAGUC
Molecule: ribosomal RNA, 460 nt
Filed under: uncultured bacterium
Lineage: Bacteria
Description: partial 16S ribosomal RNA
Rfam family: Bacterial small subunit ribosomal RNA
Source: RNAcentral